CUUGAAACACGGACCAAGGAGUUUAUCGUGUACGCGAGUCAUUGGGUGAAUAAAACCCAAAGGCGAAAUGAAAGUAAAGAGUUGAGCAUAUUUGAUUAGAAUUUAUUCUUUUCUUAUUAUGUUCCUCUUGAGGGAAGAUAAAAAUUGCGUUAAUAUUUAAUUGUAUUAAUUUACAAUUGAUUUUAAUGUGAAUUUUUCGCACUCCCAGGGCGCUUGUUUAACGCUUGCGUGACAAUGCGCACCUAGAGCGUACACGCUGAUACCCGAAAGAUGGUGAACUAUGCCUGGCCAGGACGAAGCCAGGGGAAACCCUGGUGGAGGUCCGCAGCGAUUCUGACGUGCAAAUCGAUCGUCGGAGCUGGGUAUAGGGGCGAAAGACCAAUCGAACCAUCUAGUAGCUGGUUCCCUCUGAAGUUUCCCUCAGGAUA
RNAcentral lists this ribosomal RNA (428 nucleotides) under Micrauchenus lineola. RNAcentral's name for it is "eukaryotic LSU rRNA". It matches the Rfam family "Eukaryotic large subunit ribosomal RNA", at positions 653 to 980 of the family's 3401-position model. Lineage: Eukaryota; Metazoa; Arthropoda; Insecta; Hemiptera; Reduviidae. The record is from RNAcentral.